RNAcentral lists this small nucleolar RNA (142 nucleotides) under Rhinopithecus bieti (black snub-nosed monkey). RNAcentral describes it as "Small nucleolar RNA SNORA70 (ENSRBIG00000004452.1)". It matches the Rfam family "Small nucleolar RNA SNORA70". From Rfam's summary of the family: snoRNA U70 seems to be exclusive to mammals and is a member of the H/ACA class of snoRNA which contain H (ANANNA) and ACA box motifs. The record is from Rfam by way of RNAcentral. Lineage: Eukaryota; Metazoa; Chordata; Mammalia; Primates; Cercopithecidae.
CUGCAGCCAAUUAAGCCGACUGAGUUCCUUUCUCAUGGGGGCCGCAGUGUUCGCAACUGGCUGCAAACAGCACCGCUUCCCCUGCGAUAGUCAGUGCAGCCCUGUUUGUUGUAUGGGCUCUGCCUAAAGCUGGGAGCCGGGU